RNAcentral lists this long non-coding RNA (3487 nucleotides) under Homo sapiens (human). RNAcentral describes it as "long intergenic non-protein coding RNA 2288". The record is from RNAcentral. Lineage: Eukaryota; Metazoa; Chordata; Mammalia; Primates; Hominidae.
GCAGACUUGGGCUGGAAGCUCCCGGCCCGAGGGGAGGGGGCGAGGGUGCCCGGUGGUGGCCGCCGUUGCCUCUUGGCCCCCUCCCCGGAGUGGCUGGUGCGUGGAAGCUCGAAAGGGGCUGUCUCUUCCUCUCCCCGGGGACCCCCCUACGAGCUGCGUCCUCUCCCCGACGGGCCCCCUGGGGCGAGGGCCAGAGGGUUCAGUGCCACCCGGUGCCCGGGUCCAAUCUUGCUGAAGCCGCUGCUUCCCCGGAGGACCGGGGGAGGGGGUGGCAGCCGAGAAAGGACCUUCUCCCCUCCGCAGCGUCGGCCGUUCUGCUGGCGGCGACUGGGUUUGCACCCCGGAGGGAGCCGCCGCGGCCACUGCUUCCAGGACGCACGAGAGCAGAGGAGAGGAGUGCACGCACGCAGGCUCCCGCCGCCCCCAGGCCUGGCCGGCGCCCGGGCCGCCGCGGCUGGCGGCGCUCACGUUGGCUGCAGGGCGCUCGCGCGGCGCCUCGGCCCGGGUCGCAUCCCUUCCCGCUCGUGCUCACGCUCGCCCGGAAUGUGGGGUUGUGAUUGUUACUCUACGUUCCGGAGGCGCGUCUCGGCGCUCCUGCUCCGGCUGCGGCUCGCGCUGUCCCCGGCUUGGCCGCGCGGGAUGCCGCCCGGGCGGAGCGCUGACGUCACCGCCAUGCUCUGCACCAGUUCUUCCCCCUCCCCUUUACACUUCCUCUGUGGAGCCCACUUGUUGCUCAGGCAAGGCGCAUGCGCGGCAGGACGCCCAGAUUCCUCCCAGCCGGCCCCUCCUCCGCGCCUCCGCCCUCCCCUCCCCCCUCGCCGUGUGUGUACAACAGCUGAGGCCCGGCGAGCUAAUGCUGGAAGUCCAGAGCUGGGGGUGGAAAUUAAACAGACGAUGACCUUUCCUUUCCCUGCCGGGCAUUCCCAAGUAAAAACGCAUUUAAGAACCACUAGCGUCGUUUCCGAUCCCUGCUCCCCACCCCACCCCCAAGCCUCGGCAGUGAAUUUAAAUGUCCUGUUUCAGGAUUUUUCGCCGUGAAUUUCGUAUAAGGUAUUAACCAUUUCAUCUGCGGUUGAACCUUAUCCCCCCCGGCAUGGAUGUUAAAUUCAUCGCCACCACUGAUGCCGAAGCACCUGCAAAAUUAGCUGUUUUCCAAUCUUCCAGAAAUUGUCUUUUCUAUUUGUUUUUGUGCCCUGAUCUAGGAACCCGGGCUUCAACGAUAGAGCUAAAUGAAUUCAGAGUGCGCUACCCUUCCCCCCAGCCGCACUUUAAAAAUUUUGGCUGAACGUCUGAAGAAGAUACGAGCACCCCGAGGCCUUUAAGGAAAACAGGCAACUGGCUGCGCACAGCUGCAGUUCAGGGCAGGGAGGGGGAGGGGCCGGAGAGGCCAAACAGGUGAGUGUUUUUUCUAGAGUUUGAUUUUUAAAAGGUGGAGGCAGCAUUUAAUAAUACUGAUACAUUUUUGUAAAGCACAGCCGCAGUUUUCAAAGUUCUUUCUCAGGCGCUGUGAUCUCACUCCAUGUUGCCCCAGAAGGCGGAACAAGGCCGUGAUUUUUUUUUUUUUUUUUUUUUAAGACGGAGUCUUGCUCUGUCGCCCAGGCUGGAGUGCAAAAUGGCGCGAUCUCGGCUCACUGCAACCUCUGCCUCGCAGGUUCAAGCGAUUCUUCCGCCUCAGCCUCCCAAGUAGCUGUGAUUACCGGCACCCGCCAUCAGGCCCAGCUAAUUUUUUGUAUUUUUGUAGAGACAUGGUUUCACCAUGUUAGCCAGCUGGUCUUGAACUCCUGACCUCAGGUGAUCCUCCCGCCUCGGCCUUCCAAAGUGCUGGGAUUACAAGCAUGAACCACCACGCCCGGCCAAGGCCGUGAUUUCUUCUGCCUUACAAGAUCACUGCUCAUCAGUAUUGCUUAUGGCACGAUGGAUAUGUUGGUCAUAGCUCUAGUUGGGGCAUUUCUAUUGAUUAUUCUAAUUAUUGGGUUUGCUUUUUUUUUUUUUUUUAUUUCAUGAAAACUGAGAUAAUCCCAGGGAAGGCUGGAGAAGGGAAAGCAAUAUAAUGGGAUUUCGGAUUCUGAAGUGUGGCCCACCAGAUUGAAAUUUCCUCUCCAUCACUAACUGGCUCUCCACCCUUAAGCUAGUUACCCACAAAAUCUCUCUUUUCCAUGGAAAAGAGAAUGGAAUGAUAGCUCCCAGGUUGUUAGGGUUGUUUGAGAUUUCAACUUCGGUUUUUUGUUUUUUUGAGAUAGGAUCUUGUUCUGUUGCCCAGGCUGGAGUGCAGUGGCACACUCGCGGCUGGCAGCAGCCUGACCUCCCAGGCUCAAGUAAUCCUCCCACCUCAGCCUCCCUAGUAGCUGGGACUACAGGCAUGUGCCAUUACACCUGGCCAAUUUUUUUGUAUUUUUGGAAAGGGAUGGGGUUUUGCCGUGUUGCCCAGGCUGGUCUCAAACUCCUGGGCCCAAGUGAUGCACCCACCUUGGCCUCCCAAAGUGUUGGGAUUACAGGCAUGAGCCACCUCACCCGGCCUCAAUUUGUUUCUUGUCAUAAGAAGAGAUAACGCUUACUUAGACUUGCCGUGGGACCUUAGUAAACUAGGUGGCUUUACUUGCAUCACCCUUAAUAUUAUCUACAUUAUUAAGGGGAUAUUAUCUAUAGUAUUUUGUUGUUGUUUUGAGACAGAGUCCACUCUGUCACCCAGGCUGGAGUACAGUGACGCAAUCUCAGCUCACUGCAACCUCCACCUCCCAGGUUCAAGCAAUUCUCCUGCCUCAGUCUCCCAAGUACCUGGGGAUACAGGCGCCCGCCACCACACCCAGCUCAUUUUUGUAUUUUUAGUAGAGACGGACUUUCACCAUGUUGGCCAGGCUGGUCUCGAACUCCUGACCUCAGGUGAUCCUCCCGCCUCAGCCUCCCAAAGUGCUGGGAUUACAGGCAUGACCCACCGUGACCGGCCUAUUACAGUAUUAAACCCUUAAUAUUAUCUACAGGGUAGAUUCUUUUACCUCCAUUUUACAAACCAGGAAAGUAAAGAGGCUAUAUAACUUGCCUACAGCCAUUAGUGAUGGGGCUGGGAUUUGAAUCCAGUAAAUCUGAUUUGAGGUGUCUUUGACAAGCUCAGGCUUGCAGAGGUGGUUUGGGGUGCUCAAAAUUCCCAUCAGCCCCAGUUGAUUUGGUGUUACAUACAAUCUUACGUAAGUACUAUGCCAAUACACCUUCAUAACCAACCCCCAGCCUCCCCUUCCAAGCGCAUUUGUACCACUGAGUUCUAUAUACAGAAGUUGUAGAUCUGUCACUACCAGACUGUAACUUAAAUACACCAUACAGAAUGGAGAGCAGUGUUGGACUCACAGUUAGUGUUAGUUAUUAUUAGUAUUGAUACUAGUGUUGGUACUAUUGCUGGUUGACAUGUGACAGUACUUAGUAAACUGCAUAAAUUGUGAGGAUCACUAUUAUCACUCUUAUUACUAGUAAUUGCAAUAAAGUUCAGUGGAAGCAA